GACAGAGGUGCCGAGCGUUAGGCGGAAUCACUGGGCUUAAAGCGUGUGUAGGCGGAUCUGUAAGUACCUUGUGAAAUCCCACGGCUCAACCGUGGAACUGCUUGGUAUACUGCGGGUCUUGAGCCACCUAGGGGCAAGUGGAACAAACGGUGGAGCGGUGAAAUGCGUAGAUAUCGUCUGGAACGCCGAAGGUGAAAACAGCUCGCUGGGGCUGCGCUGACGCUGAGACACGAAAGCCAGGGGAGCGAACGGG
This 253-nucleotide ribosomal RNA is filed under the name uncultured bacterium. Its description in RNAcentral is "partial 16S ribosomal RNA". It matches the Rfam family "Bacterial small subunit ribosomal RNA", at positions 524 to 776 of the family's 1533-position model. The record is from RNAcentral.